GACGAACGCUGGCGGCGUGCCUAAUACAUGCCAGUAGAACGCUGAAGAGAGGAGCUUGCUCUUCUUGGAUGAGUUGCGAACGGGUGAGUAACGCGUAGGUAACCUGCCUUGUAGCGGGGGAUAACUAUUUGAAACGAUAGCUAAUACCGCAUAACAAUGGAUGACACAUGUCAUUUAUUUGAAAGGGGCAAUUGCUCCACUACAAGAUGGACCUGCGUUGUAUUAGCUAGUAGGUGAGGUAAUGGCUCACCUAGGCGACGAUACAUAGCCGACCUGAGAGGGAGAUCGGCCAGACUGGGAAUGAGACACGGCCCAGACUCCUAGGGGGGGCAGCAGUAGGGAAUCUUCGGAAAUGGGGGCAACCCUGACCGAGCAACGCCGCGUGAGUGAAGAAGGUUUUCGGAUCGUAAAGCUCUGUUGUAAGUUAAGAACGGGUGUGAGAGUGGAAAGUUCACACUGUGACGGUAGCUUACCAGAAAGGGACGGCUAACUACGUG
This 497-nucleotide ribosomal RNA is filed under the name uncultured bacterium. Its description in RNAcentral is "partial 16S ribosomal RNA". It matches the Rfam family "Bacterial small subunit ribosomal RNA", at positions 28 to 507 of the family's 1533-position model. The record is from RNAcentral.